Molecule: small RNA, 1665 nt
Filed under: Oryza sativa Japonica Group (Japanese rice)
Lineage: Eukaryota; Viridiplantae; Streptophyta; Magnoliopsida; Poales; Poaceae
Description: sRNA Os09g0432601
Source: RNAcentral
GGUUUGGAUGCCGUCUUGUUUUCUUUACCACUUCCACUCCUACGGGAUACUAGUAGGGCUAGCUGCCUUGGCUCCAGUCCAGAGUAGCUGUCUCUCUAUCUCUGCCUGCUGCGACACAUGCGUCUACUGCUGCUGCUAUCUCUAGCAGUGAGUGGUUCAUAGCAAGCUGGCCAGUGGCACCACCACGAAUUGAGAACGAUCUGCCGUUCAGUUCUUUGGCAUAUUGCUACAGUAGUGGUGGGAUCAGGAUAUUUCACUGCACCACGCCUGGGAUCAGGAUAUGUGGUUUUAAAGAUCAUCAAAUCAUAUAUCAGUGAUAAAAGAAACGGUUCAGUCGAACUACAUAGGAUCUCAAUCCGUGGUGGUGGCGGCUGCUACUCUACCACGAUGCUCGUCGCGUCGAGUGUAGGAGUACUGUGAGAAAAUGUGACAGCGUUUGUAUCCUUUGUUUUAUUGCGAACUGUCUGCAUCCUCACGUUGUUCAAAGUGGCAGUGGAUGCAUUAUCCCGGUCUGUGGAUGACGAGCGACAAAGCAGCCGUUUCAGCAUUUACUGUACCACACUGUCAUUGCUGGCCCUUGUAAGCUUGUAGUAGCAGUACACGACGUCCUUCCGUUUUGACUGAUCUAGGAGUAGGCAAAUUGACUGCACAAUAUCGCUCCUCGAUUCGAUUGUGUUUUUUUUUUAACACUGAUGAAAAGGAUUCACAUUUCUGGCAUUUGCUCUAAGACGUAUAACCAAUAAAAAACUAAAAAAAUAAAAAAAAGUGAAGUUGUCAUAAAACUGAAGAAAAGACAUAAUAUGAUGGAACAAAGCUCAAUUCGAUUGUGCAUGUAGGAUGGAACAACAAGAACUAAACCAACCAAAGUGGGUGAAUGGUUGAUGUACCAAAAACAAAAUCUUUUAGCGGAAACAAAAGUUCCCAGCUAUUCUCUCCAUUUCAUAAUAUAUAAAGUAUUUGCCGGUGACCCAAUAUAUGCGCAGACCAAGAAAUAACAAAACCCUAAAGAAAAAAAUAGGAAGAAAAUGAUGGAUACCCCUUUACUCUUAUUAUCUUUAUCAGCUGCAGUUAAUAAUUGAAUUUUAAAACUAAUUUUAGAGUUGAUUUUAGAAUUAUUUCAUCACAUUAUAUUUUUAAACACUAGCUCUUUUAAGAAAAAAAUCGACUAUAAUGACACUUAUUACUCUUGUGCUCUGAUACCACUAGUUAUAAUAUAUAGCCUAGCCCACCAACUAUAAACCCACAAAGCCAAUCAAAACUACAACUCUAGAUGCUAAGCCUACAUUACCCAAAAGCCUCGUCUCAUCCCCCACCAUUUCAGCUGUGUUGCCUAACAUCAAUAUCUGAUGUACGAGUAAACCCAACAAUCUUCACUGUCAUAUAUCGUGUCCAAUAAUUUGCAAAGACUUAUUUCGUACACCUGACCUCAACCGUGCCUAACAACCUCCGAAAACUUAUUAGAGUAUCCAUGGUGUGGGAACUAAGGGGAGCACUAAGGGAAUCUUUCUACUAUAGCAAGGGUACUAUACAUUGCAAAAAACAAGUUUUAGGCUAUCAAAGAACAAGCCGGGUCUUCCCAUGAGGCCAGGCUAUUCAUAUAAACAAGCAUUACUCUUUUACCCAAGCCAUGAAGAGGACCAAUAGAAAUACAAAUUUUAUUAGAUG